AAUCUCGGGCUAAUGAGAAUAAUACCCCAUAGACCUCGAAAGCUGGAAUGCUUCAAGGUCGAUAACUCCGGUGCCCUUGUGUUGCUCUGCGUCCUAUCAGGUCGUAGUGGGUGUAACGUACCCCCUAGCCUAUGACGCGUAAGGGCCUUGAGAGAGGGAGCCCUGAGAUGGACUCUGAGACAUGAGUCCAGGCCCUACGGGGGGCAGAAGUCGCAAAAACUUCACAAUGGGGGAAACCCCGAUGAGGGAAAUUCCAAGUGCCAGCACAUUGGGGUUGGCUGUUCUCUGGUCAAAAAAACCGGAGAAGUAAGGCCCGGGUAAGAAAGGGUGCAACCCGCCGCGUUAAUACCCGGGGGCCCGGGUGGGGGGUCGAUAUUAUUUGAGCCUAAAACGUCCGUGGCCCGGCUUCAUAAAAUCCUUGUUGUAAAUCGCCAAGCUUAACUGUUCCGAAAGUCCGAGGAAGACUUUUGAGAAUUUGGAAUCGGGAAGAGGGCAGGAGUUCUUUUUGGGGUAGGGGAAAAAUCCUGUAAUCCUGGAAGGCCCACCGGUGGGAGAAGGCGUCUGAUUAGAACGAAUUCGACGGUGAGGGACGAAGCCCCUGGGGCGCAAACGGGAUUUGAUUCCCCGGUAGUCCAGGGGGUAAACGCUGCGGGCUUGGGUUUGGGGGGUCCCUUUGUGGGCCCCCAGUGCCGGGAGAGAAGUUUGUUAAGGCCUGCUGCUUGGGGAGUACGUCCGCAAGGUUGAAACUUAAA
This 752-nucleotide ribosomal RNA is filed under the name uncultured archaeon. RNAcentral describes it as "partial 16S ribosomal RNA". It matches the Rfam family "Archaeal small subunit ribosomal RNA", at positions 128 to 860 of the family's 1478-position model. The record is from RNAcentral.